GACGAACGCUGGCGGCGUGCCUAAUACAUGCAAGUAGAACGCUGAAGGAGGAGCUUGCUUCUCUGGAUGAGUUGCGAACGGGUGAGUAACGCGUAGGUAACCUGCCUGGUAGCGGGGGAUAACUAUUGGAAACGAUAGCUAAUACCGCAUAAGAGUAGAUGUUGCAUGACAUUUGCUUAAAAGGUGCAAUUGCAUCACUACCAGAUGGACCUGCGUUGUAUUAGCUAGUUGGUGGGGUAACGGCUUACCAAGGCGACGAUACAUAGCCGACCUGAGAGGGGGAUCGGCCACACUGGGAGUGAGACACGGCCCAGACUCCUACGGGAGGCAGCAGUAGGGAAUCUUCGGCAAUGGACGGAAGUCUGACCGAGCAACGCCGCGUGAGUGAAGAAGGUUUUCGGAUCGUAAAGCUCUGUUGUAAGAGAAGAACGAGUGUGAGAGUGGAAAGUUCACACUGUGACGGUAUCUUACCAGAAAGGGACGGCUAACUACGUG
RNAcentral lists this ribosomal RNA (495 nucleotides) under uncultured bacterium. Its description in RNAcentral is "partial 16S ribosomal RNA". It matches the Rfam family "Bacterial small subunit ribosomal RNA", at positions 28 to 507 of the family's 1533-position model. The record is from RNAcentral.